UACGCUGAGCCGGUUGAGGUGUC
RNAcentral lists this non-coding RNA (23 nucleotides) under Arabidopsis thaliana (thale cress). Lineage: Eukaryota; Viridiplantae; Streptophyta; Magnoliopsida; Brassicales; Brassicaceae. The record is from RNAcentral.